This 45-nucleotide non-coding RNA is filed under the name Schistosoma mattheei. The record is from RNAcentral. Lineage: Eukaryota; Metazoa; Platyhelminthes; Trematoda; Strigeidida; Schistosomatidae.
AUCCAGCUGACGUGUCCCAAUUGGGACGAAACACACGUUCUGCAU